AUACAGAAGCCUCAAGCGUUACCCGGAUUCACGGGGCGUAAAGGGUUCGUAGGCGGUUAUAUUAGUCGGGUGUUAAAUCCUGAGGCUCAACCUCAGGCUCGCAUUCGAAACGGUAUAACUAGAAGAAGUGAGAGGUGAACAGAACUCAUGGUGUAGGGGUGAAAUCCGUUGAUAUCAUGGGGAAUACCAAAUGCGAAGGCAGUUCACUGGCACUUUCUUGACGCUGAGGAACGAAAGCGUGGGUAGCGAACGGGAUUAGAUACCCCAGUAGUCC
Molecule: ribosomal RNA, 274 nt
Filed under: uncultured bacterium
Lineage: Bacteria
Description: partial 16S ribosomal RNA
Rfam family: Bacterial small subunit ribosomal RNA
Source: RNAcentral